ACCGCCUCCUGCAAGUGGGUGUCUGGAAAUCAGCCAGACAAAAGAGCAAACGCAGAACAGCAUGCAGCCGCUAAGAAAAAGAGACGGCGAAAGCGGCUCAAGUUCCACCAGCCAAGGUGCACACGGGACGGAAGU
This is a long non-coding RNA of Trichoplusia ni (cabbage looper), 135 nucleotides long. RefSeq lists it as uncharacterized. NCBI's taxonomy places the organism in Eukaryota, Metazoa, Arthropoda, Insecta, Lepidoptera, Noctuidae. The transcript is spliced from 3 exons. The record is from RefSeq and is a predicted model, not a curated record.